Molecule: ribosomal RNA, 496 nt
Filed under: uncultured bacterium
Lineage: Bacteria
Description: partial 16S ribosomal RNA
Rfam family: Bacterial small subunit ribosomal RNA
Source: RNAcentral
GGGGGGGGGGGGGGGGGGGGCUGGUGGGGGCGGGUUGGGGGAUGGAGGUUGGUGCGUGCACCGAUUUGAGGGGCAGCGGACGGGUGAGUAGCGCGUGGGGAAUCUGCCUUUGAGCGGGGGACAACAUUUGGGAACGAAUGCUCGUACCGCUUAGCACCUUUAAACAUAAGUUUUAAGUUUGCAGGAUGCACUUGCAUCACUCAAAGAUGAUCCCGCGUUGUAUUAGCUAGUUGGUGAGGUAAAGGCUCACCAAGGCGAUGAUACAUAGCCGACCUGAGAGGGUGAUCGGCCACAUUGGGACUGAGACACGGCCCAAACUCCUACGGGAGGCAGCAGUAGGGAAUCUUCGGCAAUGGACGAAAGUCUGACCGAGCAACGCCGCGUGAGUGAAGAAGGUUUUCGGAUCGUAAAACUCUGUUGGUAGAGAAGAACGUUGGUGAGAGUGGAAAGCUCAUCAAGUGACGGUAACUACCCAGAAAGGGACGGCUAACUACGU